This is a long non-coding RNA of Salvia splendens (bonfire salvia), 1311 nucleotides long. RefSeq lists it as uncharacterized. The record is from RefSeq and is a predicted model, not a curated record. The transcript is spliced from 2 exons. NCBI's taxonomy places the organism in Eukaryota, Viridiplantae, Streptophyta, Magnoliopsida, Lamiales, Lamiaceae.
GAUCAGUAAAUAAAUCACAAAUAAAUUCAAAUUGAUUCAAAAUUUAAAAAAAGGGAAAAUUCGAAAACUCUCCCCUUAACCCACGUUAGAAAAAACCGCCCUCUCUCCCCUAAAUCUCUCUCACAUCCAAACCAAAUCACCUCCCUAUAAUAUACGUUUCACCACCAACCCGUUUUUCUAUAAUAUACGUUUCACGUCUCUCACAAGAACAAGGCAACUCUCAUUCAAUCGAAUACAAGCCGCAACUCAAAGAUCGAAUUCGAACUCAAGCCUCUUGCAACGACAAAGCUACCUUUUCUCCCCAUUCCAAUCUAGCCGAGUUCAAGAAAACUGAGAAACUAAGAGGAGAGAACGAGAGCCGCAAUCUACCACCGGUCUAAAAAAAUAAAAAAAAAAAAAAAAAAAAAAAAAAACGAGAGCCGCAAUCUCUUUUGUUCGAGCCAAUUCGUUCCCAAUCUACAAAGGUACAUCAAUUCCCUCUACAAUAGCCUCAAUUUUGUGCAUCUCAUAACUUUGUAACCAAUCUAAUAAUCUGGGAAUCAAAACAAAACCGAAUGAAAGAUUGAACAUUUAACGAAUCGGAAUCAACUUAAAGAACCUUAUCUUGCGGGGUGGUUCGGGGCUGCGCGGUGUCGUUUCGGAGCUGUUCGGGGACCGUCGAGCAGCCACCGGACAGCAACAAUGGGCAGCGACAGCAGGCGCCUGACUCGGCGCUUCUGUACGACAGCUGUGACCCCACGCGACGUGCGAUGGAGGGGCGAGCAGUAGCUGACCGACGAGCAGAGGCCGCCGGCGUGAGGGUCGACGCGAUGGUGGAGGAUCUGGACGCGGCGACAGCAGCGUCUCCCGGCAGCGACGACGGAGGAUCCCGGCGACGAGCAGCAGUGGCGGUUCAGGCGGAGCAGCCAUGGCUGGCGGAACCACGCCUUCCAUCUCCCGGCUGAGAAAUCACCGGCGUUGCUGCCAUGGUUGUGCGGUAAUAUUAGAGAUGGAGAUGGCGACGGAGGAUUUUGGGGAAACUUCUCCAAUUUCUGUCGAGAUAGGGAGAAUUAGAGAGUUAGGAUGGUGAGGGAGAGAGAAAGGGUGUUGACCGAGAUGGAGGGGGUAGGGAAAUCUUUGCUUUUGUGUUUGAUUUGGGCCACUAUUUAUUUUGUUGGGCCCAAAUUUACUAUUUAUUUUGUUGGGCCCAAAUUUUUAUUUGGAGAAAUAAGGAUGAGUUAAUAAUUGUUUGGGCCGGAUUAGAUAAUUGUGUUGGGUUGCUCUUGAUAAAAUACUGGGCCAAUAAUUUAAUUUUGGGGGUUCUUUAAUUAA